Molecule: ribosomal RNA, 492 nt
Filed under: uncultured bacterium
Lineage: Bacteria
Description: partial 16S ribosomal RNA
Rfam family: Bacterial small subunit ribosomal RNA
Source: RNAcentral
AGUGAACGCUGGCGGUAGGCCUAAUACAUGCAAGUCGAACGGCAGCACAGUAAGAGCUUGCUCUUACGGGUGGCGAGUGGCGGACGGGUGAGGAAUACAUCGGAAUCUACUUUUUCGUGGGGGAUAACGUAGGGAAACUUACGCUAAUACCGCAUACGACCUACAGGUGAAAGCAGGGGAUCUUCGGACCUUGCGCGAUUGAAUGAGCCGAUGUCGGAUUAGCUAGUUGGCGGGGUAAAGGCCCACCAAGGCGACGAUCCGUAGCUGGUCUGAGAGGAUGAUCAGCCACACUGGAACUGAGACACGGUCCAGACUCCUACGGGAGGCAGCAGUGGGGAAUAUUGGACAAUGGGCGCAAGCCUGAUCCAGCCAUACCGCGUGGGUGAAGAAGGCCUUCGGGUUGUAAAGCCCUUUUGUUGGGAAAGAAAAGCAGCAGGUUAAUACCCCGCUGUUCUGACGGUACCCAAAGAAUAAGCACCGGCUAACUUCGUG